RNAcentral lists this non-coding RNA (27 nucleotides) under Mus musculus (house mouse). The record is from RNAcentral. Lineage: Eukaryota; Metazoa; Chordata; Mammalia; Rodentia; Muridae.
UGGAGUCGAAUGUAGGGUUGAUCCAGC